AGGACGAACGCUGGCGGCGUGCUUAACACAUGCAAGUCGAACGGUGAUGGCCAGCUUGCUGGUCUGAUCAGUGGCGAACGGGUGAGUAACACGUGAGCAACCUGCCCUUCACUCUGGGAUAACCACCGGAAACGGUGGCUAAUACCGGAUAUGAGACGUACACGCAUGUGUCGCGUCUGGAAAGAUUUAUCGGUGAAGGAUGGGCUCGCGCCUAUCAGCUUGUGUGGGUAGUGGCCCACCAAGGCGACGACGGGUAGCCGG
RNAcentral lists this ribosomal RNA (261 nucleotides) under uncultured bacterium. RNAcentral's name for it is "partial small subunit ribosomal RNA". It matches the Rfam family "Bacterial small subunit ribosomal RNA", at positions 26 to 290 of the family's 1533-position model. The record is from RNAcentral.